CCUACGGGUGGCUGCAGUGAGGAAUAUUGGGCAAUGCCCGCAAGGGUGACCCAGCAACGCCGCGUGGAGGAUGAAGGUCGUAAGAUUGUAAACUCCUGUUAGAGGGGAAGAAUACCCGGGUUUGAAGCCCGGUUUGACUGUACCCUCAGAGAAAGCCCCGGCUAACUACGUGCCAGCAGCCGCGGUAAUACGUAGGGGGCAAGCGUUGUCCGGAUUUACUGGGUGUAAAGGGCGCGUAGACGUCCGCGUUGAAAUCCUGCAGCUUAACUGCAGAACUGCCUUUGAUACUGCGAGUCUUGAGUUCAGAAGAGAGAGAUGGAAUUCCAGGUGUAGUGGUGAAAUACGUAGAUAUCUGGAAGAACACCAGUUGCGAAGGCGAUCUCUUGGUCUGACACUGACGCUGAGGCGCGAAAGCGUGGGGAGCAAACAGGAUUAGAUACCCGUGUAGUC
RNAcentral lists this ribosomal RNA (450 nucleotides) under uncultured bacterium. Its description in RNAcentral is "partial 16S ribosomal RNA". It matches the Rfam family "Bacterial small subunit ribosomal RNA", at positions 338 to 795 of the family's 1533-position model. The record is from RNAcentral.